CUUUAUGGUGGGUUGGGUGAGGCAGCCGAAAGGCUGGCCGGAAUCCUUUGGCCCGGUACUGCUAACCUCGCUCAAUCCGCCACCCAA
Molecule: non-coding RNA, 87 nt
Filed under: Oceanospirillales bacterium LUC14_002_19_P2
Lineage: Bacteria; Pseudomonadati; Pseudomonadota; Gammaproteobacteria; Oceanospirillales
Source: RNAcentral